CACGGAGUUAGCCGAUGCUUUUUCUCCGGGUACCCUCAGGACCGGACGAGUCCGGCCUUUUGUCCCCCGGCAAAAGAGGUCUGCGACGCUCUGCGCCUUCCUCCCUCACGCGGCUUGGCUGGUUCAGCCUUCCGGCCAUUGACCAAUAUUCCUCACUGCUGCCUCCCGUAGGAGUCUGGUCCGUGUCUCAGUACCAGUGUGGGGGGCCUUCCUCUCAGAACCCCUACGCAUCGUCGGAACGGUGGUCCGCCACACCGCCGUCUUCCUAAUGCGCCGCAUGCCCAUCCCCGCCCGCCCAGAAGGGCUUUCCUCCCCCGGGGAUCGCCCCCGGGGAUGUACGCGGUAUCAGCCCCCUUUCGGAGGUUGUACCCCUGGCGGGGCAGGUUGCAUACGUGUUACUCACCCGUGCGCCGGUCGCCGGCGGGACGCGCAAGCGCGUCCCCGCUCGCCCCUCGACUUGCAUGUGUUAAGCCUGCCGCUAGCGUUCAUCCUGAGCCAGGAUCAAAACUCU
RNAcentral lists this ribosomal RNA (511 nucleotides) under uncultured Bacteroidales bacterium. RNAcentral describes it as "partial 16S ribosomal RNA". Lineage: Bacteria; Pseudomonadati; Bacteroidota; Bacteroidia; Bacteroidales. The record is from RNAcentral.